UUUUAUAUAAACGUCAAUAAGCCAUUAAUUCUUUAAAACGUGUAGACUUAAUCAAUACAGUACUUUCCCGAGAGCGGUUCGCCUUAAAAUUGUUUAAAAUGAAUGAAUUAAAAGCAUUUGAUGAUAUAGUCAGUGAAAACUUUCAUUCCAUAAAAUUUCCAACUGUAAGUCAGUUUUGCUGCAAUGAAGAUUUUGUGGAUUUAAAAAAAAGGGGGCUUUAAUAUCAGCCGGAAUUACUGCUGUUUUAAAUGUUUUGGGUAUUAUAAUGACAGACCAAGUAAUUGUGAAUAUGAUUUCGUUAAUAUUUACCGGAUUUUGGGCUUAUGGCAUUUCGAAAGAAAAUCCAAGAUUCUUGUCGUACUGGUAUCUCUUAACAGGACUCAUUUCAAUCGUCGUGUUCUCGUUCAUAUCAUUAAUUCGUAGCAUAGUCUAUCUAUACGUAAUCAUCGCAAGCCCUGAACACACCGAAAUUAUGCCCCAUAAGAGACUGUAUAAAAUGCAAAACUGUAGCACUGCUAGCGCCACUACGGACAACUAUGGAGCUCUAGUCCGUUGGUUGCAACUGAGCAAAAGUCUUUUCACUAUUUGGCGGCAACUUAGUGUAGAUUACAUUGUAAUCCGUCGUGGCGCUAGCAGUGUGACAGUUUGGGCAUAAUU
Molecule: long non-coding RNA, 657 nt
Organism: Contarinia nasturtii (swede midge)
Lineage: Eukaryota; Metazoa; Arthropoda; Insecta; Diptera; Cecidomyiidae
Exons: 3
Source: RefSeq, a predicted model, not a curated record